UACGGAGGAUGCAAGCGUUAUCCGGAAUGAUUGGGCGUAAAGCGUCCGCAGGUGGCUAUGUAAGUCUGCUGUUAAGAGUGAGGCUCAACCUCAUAAGAGCAGUGGAAACUACAUGGCUAGAGUGCGUUCGGGGCAGAGGGAAUUCCUGGUGUAGCGGUGAAAUGCGUAGAUAUCAGGAAGAACACCGGUGGCGAAAGCGCUCUGCUAGGCCGCAACUGACACUGAGGACGAAAGCUAGGGGAGCGAAUGG
Molecule: ribosomal RNA, 250 nt
Filed under: uncultured bacterium
Lineage: Bacteria
Description: partial 16S ribosomal RNA
Rfam family: Bacterial small subunit ribosomal RNA
Source: RNAcentral